RNAcentral lists this long non-coding RNA (209 nucleotides) under Nicotiana benthamiana. Its description in RNAcentral is "long non-coding RNA (NBEN_LNC031510)". The record is from RNAcentral. Lineage: Eukaryota; Viridiplantae; Streptophyta; Magnoliopsida; Solanales; Solanaceae.
UUUCCUCUUCCCUUUUGUUAAAUGAACUUUUUCCAUUUGUUUCAUUGUAUGAUAUUAUCAUAUUUGUCGGAUGAGAAUUUUGAGAUAUUAAACACUUGCUUAUAACAUAAGCAGUAACUGUAGUAUGAGAAUUAUAGUUGUAAAUUUAAUUUGGAAUGAAAAUAUGGAUAUCUCACAAAGCAAACUUAGAUCAACGUCCAAUUGUAAAA